GAACGCUGGCGGCGUGCUUAACACAUGCAAGUCGAACGAAGCACUUUAUUUGAUUUCCUUCGGGACUGAUUAUUUUGUGACUGAGUGGCGGACGGGUGAGUAACGCGUGGGUAACCUGCCUUGUACAGGGGGAUAACAGUUGGAAACGGCUGCUAAUACCGCAUAAGCGCACAGCAUCGCAUGAUGCAGUGUGAAAAACUCCGGUGGUAUAAGAUGGACCCGCGUUGGAUUAGCUAGUUGGUGAGGUAACGGCCCACCAAGGCGACGAUCCAUAGCCGACCUGAGAGGGUGACCGGCCACAUUGGGACUGAGACACGGCCCAAACUCCUACGGGAAGCAGCAGUGGGGAAUAUUGCACAAUGGGCGAAAGCCUGAUGCAGCGACGCCGCGUGAGCGAAGAAGUAUUUCGGUAUGUAAAGCUCUAUCAGCAGGGAAGAUAAUGACGGUACCUGACGAAGAAGCACCGGCUAAAUACGUG
RNAcentral lists this ribosomal RNA (478 nucleotides) under uncultured bacterium. RNAcentral's name for it is "partial 16S ribosomal RNA". It matches the Rfam family "Bacterial small subunit ribosomal RNA", at positions 31 to 507 of the family's 1533-position model. The record is from RNAcentral.